UUAUAACUAACAAAAUUACUUUUUAAUUUACCUCUUCUCUUCGCCUCAUUCAUCCCUGCUAUUUGGGGCUAGCUCCCUCAUCCUAAUUUUCCAAUUAACCCGAUUUCCCACCAUGCAUACAUUGGCUGUCCAUCAUUCUUAAUAGCAUCCAACCACCUCUUUUUUAGUUCUUUUACCUCCACCACUUCUCUUUCUUUCUACAUUUAUUUUUAUUUACAUUUGUAUUGCUUUCACUUCUUUUUACUUCAUGUUAUGCCCAAAUCAUCUCAGUCUAUUACUUCUUAUUUUGUCUACUACUAAAGCUACGCUUAAGUUACAUUUUAUUUAUUCGUUCAUUAUCCAAUCCUUUCUUGUCACUCUACUCAUCCAGCUAAGCAGUCACAUCUUCGCUACAAUCUUUCUCUGUUCUAUAGAAUUCAAGAUCUCACCACACUUAUAGAACUUACAAUAUUUAC
Cinara cedri is the source of this 455-nucleotide non-coding RNA. Lineage: Eukaryota; Metazoa; Arthropoda; Insecta; Hemiptera; Aphididae. The record is from the annotation of a GenBank genome assembly.